RNAcentral lists this ribosomal RNA (456 nucleotides) under Klebsiella pneumoniae subsp. pneumoniae. Its description in RNAcentral is "partial 23S ribosomal RNA". It matches the Rfam family "Bacterial large subunit ribosomal RNA", at positions 2263 to 2718 of the family's 2925-position model. Lineage: Bacteria; Pseudomonadati; Pseudomonadota; Gammaproteobacteria; Enterobacterales; Enterobacteriaceae. The record is from RNAcentral.
GGGUAGUUUGACUGGGGCGGUCUCCUCCCAAAGCGUAACGGAGGAGCACGAAGGUUAGCUAAUCCUGGUCGGACAUCAGGAGGUUAGUGCAAUGGCAUAAGCUAGCUUGACUGCGAGCGUGACGGCGCGAGCAGGUGCGAAAGCAGGUCAUAGUGAUCCGGUGGUUCUGAAUGGAAGGGCCAUCGCUCAACGGAUAAAAGGUACUCCGGGGAUAACAGGCUGAUACCGCCCAAGAGUUCAUAUCGACGGCGGUGUUUGGCACCUCGAUGUCGGCUCAUCACAUCCUGGGGCUGAAGUAGGUCCCAAGGGUAUGGCUGUUCGCCAUUUAAAGUGGUACGCGAGCUGGGUUUAGAACGUCGUGAGACAGUUCGGUCCCUAUCUGCCGUGGGCGCUGGAGAAUUGAGGGGGGCUGCUCCUAGUACGAGAGGACCGGAGUGGACGCAUCACUGGUGUUCG